This 454-nucleotide ribosomal RNA is filed under the name uncultured Alphaproteobacteria bacterium. RNAcentral's name for it is "bacterial SSU rRNA". It matches the Rfam family "Bacterial small subunit ribosomal RNA", at positions 8 to 508 of the family's 1533-position model. Lineage: Bacteria; Pseudomonadati; Pseudomonadota; Alphaproteobacteria. The record is from RNAcentral.
AGAGUUUGAUCCUGGCUCAGAACGAACGCUGGCGGCAGGCUUAACACAUGCAAGUCGAACGCUCUUUUCGAAGAGAGUGGCAGACGGGUGAGUAACGCGUGGGAAUCUACCUAGUGGUAAGGAACAACACAGAGAAAUUUGUGCUAAUACCUUAUACGCCCUGAGGGGGAAAGAUUUAUCGCCAUUAGAUGGGCCCGCGUUUGAUUAGCUAGUUGGUGAGGUAAUGGCUCACCAAGGCGACGAUCAAUAGCUGGUCUGAGAGGAUGAUCAGCCACACUGUGACUGAGACACGGCCCAGACUCCUACGGGAGGCAGCAGUGGGGAAUAUUGGACAAUGGGCGCAAGCCUGAUCCAGCCAUGCCGCGUGUGUGAUGAAGGCCUUAGGGUUGUAAAGCACUUUCAACGGUGAAGAUAAUGACGGUAACCGUAGAAGAAGCUCCGGCUAACUUCGUGC